RNAcentral lists this non-coding RNA (231 nucleotides) under Lactiplantibacillus fabifermentans. RNAcentral describes it as "Lactobacillus fabifermentans T-box sequence". It matches the Rfam family "T-box leader". Rfam says of the family: Uncharged tRNA acts as the effector for transcription antitermination of genes in the T-box leader family. T-boxes are found upstream of many aminoacyl-tRNA synthetase genes and some amino acid biosynthetic genes usually in Gram-positive bacteria. Lineage: Bacteria; Bacillati; Bacillota; Bacilli; Lactobacillales; Lactobacillaceae. The record is from RNAcentral.
AGUCUAGCAAUGAGCAAGAGAGUAGUUUGACAUUCCCAUCUCCAGAAAGAAAACGGGGUUGCGAGUUUUCGAUGGCCGUCAAAUGAAGGUAGCUUGCGAGCUGUUUACCUGAACUCAUAGUAGGGUGAGCCGGACGGGAUACACCGUUCGUUAACAAACUUGUUGAAGUGCAAAGUCGGGGUUUCCCGGACUUUGAAAUUAGGUGGUACCGCGAGUCCAUUCGUCCUAAGU